CUACCUAGCUCAUAUUGCAGAAAGCCAAUUCCCGCGACACAAAGCCGCCUAGUGUCAUCAGUCACAAAGGGUUCGAUUGGUUGGAAAACAAAAAAAGACGCCGUAGCCUUCCGCCGACACAUCAUCCUGUGCUUUGCUCCUGCGCCAAACUCCACUGAAGCCAUUUCGGUUCGCCGCUCCACCAGUGAACGCUCCACGGCUACGAUGUGAAGGUGUGUGGUGCACAGUGCGUGGAAGUGGGGAAUGCUAACAGGGGCUGCCUGGCCCGCCUGGUGAGGCUGGCCGGCGACCCCGCCAGACCCACGGCAACCCGCAGCGGCGAGCUCUCGGCUUGGAGCACACCAGGCCUAACCCCAGGUUACGGCGCCGCCCGCGCGAUGGAUCGCCGGCUCGAAAAGUGAUUCAACGGGUGGAGAGUAGGAACCCAGCUGUUCCAUGUGCUGCUUGAACUGCCACAGCUGCUGUCGGUGCCCCGAGGGCCUGACAUGUAUGCUGGUAUUGGCCAUCUUUGCAUCCGUCCUUGGCAUGUUCCAGUUUGGCUACAAUCUAGGUGUAAUCAAUUCGCCACGAAAAAUAUUAGAAGACUUUAUUUCAUCAGUUUAUCAAGAAAGAACAGGAUAUCAGAUAUCCAAGAACUUCAAGGACUGGUUGUGGGCAAUCACUGUUUCAAUAUUCGCCAUUGGUGGGAUGGUAGGAGGUAUUUCAGGGAGCAUGAUCGCAAACCGUUUUGGAAGGAAAGGUGGUCUGCUCAUCAAUAACAUCCUCGGCAUUCUGGGGGGCUCACUCAUGGGCUUCAGUAAUGCCUCCAGAAGCAUAGAGCUGCUCAUUUUUGGUCGCCUUAUCAUUGGUAUCAAUUGUGGUCUCAACACUGCUCUAGUGCCAAUGUACCUGCUCGAAAUUUCUCCCGUGCCACUACGAGGAGGGCUAGGUACUGUGAGUCAAGUUGGGGUUACUGUGGGAAUGUUACUGUCCCAAAUUUUAGGCAUUCAAGUAAUUCUGGGAACAGCGGAAGGCUGGCCAUACCUAUUAGCGAUAGCAGUUAUCCCAGCUAUCCUGCAACUGGUAUUAUUGCCCCUCUGUCCUGAGAGUCCAAGGUAUUUGCUCAUUUCAAAGCAGCAAGAAUCUUUAGCGAGAGGAGCAUUACAGAAGCUCCGUUGCUCAAGCUUGGUAGAAGACGACAUCGAAGAAAUGAAGACUGAGGAACAGGCUCAACAACAAGAGUCUAAGAUCACCAUGAUGCAGGUUAUGUCGAACAAAUCAUUACAGCUUCCGCUCUUAAUUGGAGUCAUGAUGCAUCUCUCUCAGCAGCUUUCUGGCAUAAAUGCUGUUUUCUAUUACUCUGUGAGACUAUUUGAAGCAGCAGGUCUUUCAGAGAACAUGUCCAAGUAUGCCAACAUUGGAGUUGGUGUAGUCAUGGUUAUCAUGACUCUUGUCUCCAUACCACUCAUGGACAGGGCGGGAAGGCGUACUCUUCACCUCUAUGGUUUAGGGGGCAUGUUCAUCUUCAGUAUAUUCAUCACUAUUUCUUUGUUAGUCAAGUUCUUAUACCAAUGGAUCACCUACAUGAGUGUUGUCAGCACAUUGUGCUUUGUAGUAUUUUUUGCAAUUGGUCCAGGUACAAUCCCCUGGAUGUUGACAGCUGAGCUGUUUUCACAAGGCCCUCGACCAGCAGCCAUGAGUAUAGGUGUUCUUGUCAACUGGUCGGCUAACUUUUUUGUGAGCCUCAUCUUUCCUCCAAUGCAGGAGGAGCUUGGAAACUAUUCAUUUCUUCCAUUCACUGCCCUGUUGGGCCUCUUCUGGACUUUCACAUACAAGAAGGUGCCGGAGACAAAGAACAAAACAUUUGAAGAGAUUUCUGCCCUCUUCAGGAGGAAUGACCCUGUAAAUAUCAAUGGGCUUGCGGUACAGGCAAAUGCUUUGCCUCCUGGCCAAGAUGCAGUAUUUGAAGAAAAAGCAGAAACUUGCUACCUUCAUCAACAUCAUCAUCAUCAUCAUCACUGUCACUAUGGAAAGUACCACAAUCGAAAAAAACUAGAAGUGAACAGUCUAGAAGACCAGCUGUAAUUUAACAAAUUUAUCUCGUCAGGCACUCAUGCAUUUCUCCAAGUUCAUAGGGGGAAAAAAAAAACACGACAACAUGUUGCUGGCCAUAGCAUGCCCUUCCGUGGCAGAGCAAAUUCCAGGGCUCAGAAGAACCUAGAAUCACUCCAUUUCAGCAGCUAGGUCCACAAGCAGUUCAUUACACUGCAGUAGCAGCAGCAACAACAGAGGAACGGUAGCCUUGAAGCAGAUGACCAGGAAACGUGGCCGUUCAUAUCAUCUUUACCCCCUGUUGAAUCACCGUGGUCCACUGGAUAAAAGGGACCCCAACGGCACAGGAACAAGCUAUGCAUUCCCGAGGGCUCAGUAUUACAGACUCAGUUCCAUAGUGUGACAAAACGUGUGACUGCGCAGCAAGCCCCGCUUGUUCAGACGGUUUUCCUGCUGUGCCCGGAACAGCGCCUUUUCCUCGCUUUUUUUUUUUUCUCUCUCCUCCUUUCUCUGGGUUUGGUCCAGCCCAGUUCUCCAGCUUGUCCACCAAGACAAGAUUCAUGGCAGAUGGCACAAGAUGGCACAAGAUCAUGGCUAGGAUGUACGGAGGAACACAUUUAUAUAUUGUGCCUUGAGUUCAGUUCGUACACAGACACCUUCAUUUCACGAACAAAAAUGUGUCACAUGGACAAUGAGUCGUUUGCAGCUCCGUGCUACC
Molecule: RNA transcript, 2749 nt
Organism: Ornithodoros turicata
Lineage: Eukaryota; Metazoa; Arthropoda; Arachnida; Ixodida; Argasidae
Gene name: glucose transporter type 1-like
Exons: 16
Source: RefSeq, a predicted model, not a curated record